UAAUAUAUAUUUCAGUGGUAGAAUGCUCGCCUGCCACGCGGGCGGCCAGGGUUCGAUUCCCUGCCGAUGCAUUUUUUUUAA
This is a non-coding RNA of Cordylochernes scorpioides, 81 nucleotides long. NCBI's taxonomy places the organism in Eukaryota, Metazoa, Arthropoda, Arachnida, Pseudoscorpiones, Chernetidae. The record is from the annotation of a GenBank genome assembly.